RNAcentral lists this non-coding RNA (99 nucleotides) under Clostridium botulinum. RNAcentral's name for it is "Guanine sequence". It matches the Rfam family "Purine riboswitch aptamer". Rfam says of the family: Riboswitches are metabolite binding domains within certain messenger RNAs that serve as precision sensors for their corresponding targets. Allosteric rearrangement of mRNA structure is mediated by ligand binding, and this results in modulation of gene expression. A class of riboswitches that selectively recognises guanine and becomes saturated at concentrations as low as 5 nM. Lineage: Bacteria; Bacillati; Bacillota; Clostridia; Eubacteriales; Clostridiaceae. The record is from RNAcentral.
ACAAUUAAAAUUGAGUUAUAUUGUAUAUUCUCAUAUUAAGGAUGAGAAGUCUCUACCUGGUGCUCAUAUUACCUGACUACAAUAAUAGCUUUUAGCUAU